AUACGGAGGGUCCAAGCGUUAUCCGGAUUCAUUGGGUUUAAAGGGUCCGCAGGCGGGAAAAUAAGUCAGUGGUGAAAGCCUACAGCUCAACUGUAGAACUGCCAUUGAUACUGUUUUUCUUGAGUAUAGAUGAAGUGGGCGGAAUAUAUCAUGUAGCGGUGAAAUGCAUAGAUAUGAUGUAGAACACCGAUUGCGAAGGCAGCUCACUAAACUAUUACUGACGCUCAGGGACGAAAGCGUGGGGAGCGAACAGGAUUAGAUACCCUAGUAGUCC
RNAcentral lists this ribosomal RNA (274 nucleotides) under uncultured bacterium. RNAcentral's name for it is "partial 16S ribosomal RNA". It matches the Rfam family "Bacterial small subunit ribosomal RNA", at positions 523 to 796 of the family's 1533-position model. The record is from RNAcentral.